RNAcentral lists this ribosomal RNA (459 nucleotides) under uncultured bacterium. RNAcentral describes it as "partial 16S ribosomal RNA". It matches the Rfam family "Bacterial small subunit ribosomal RNA", at positions 338 to 795 of the family's 1533-position model. The record is from RNAcentral.
CCUACGGGUGGCAGCAGUGAGGAAUAUUGGUCAAUGGACGAGACUCUGAACCAGCCAAGUCGCGUGAAGGAUGACUGCCCUAUGGGUUGUAAACUUCUUUUAUAAAGGAAUAAAACGCGGCACGUGUGCCUUUUUGCCUGUACUUUAUGAAUACGGAUCGGCAAACUCUGUGCCAGCAGCCGCGGUAAUACGGAGGAUCUGGGCGUGAUCCGGAUUUAUUGGGUUUAAGGGGUGGGUAGGCGGGCUGUUAAGUCUGCGGUAAAAGCCCGGGGUUCAACCCCGGCGAGCCGUUGAAACUGGCUGUCUUGAGAUGGCGAGAGGUAUGCGGAAUGCGCAGUGUAGCGGUGAAAUGCGUAGAUAUUGCGCAGAACUCCGAUUGCGAAGGCAGCAUACCGGCGGCGAUCUGACGCUGAGGCACGAAAGCGUGGGUAUCGAACAGGAUUAGAUACCCUAGUAGUC